AAACCAGCACCUCAAGUGGUCAGGAUGAUUAUUGGGCCUAAAGCAUCCGUAGCCUGCUCUGUAAGUUUUCGGUUAAAUCUGUACGCUCAACGUACAGGCUGCCGGGAAUACUGCAGAGCUAGGGAGUGGGAGAGGUAGACGGUACUCGGGAGGAAGUGGUAAAAUGCUUUGAUCUCUCGAUGACCACCUGUGGCGAAGGCGGUCUACCAGAACACGCCCGACGGUGAGGGAUGAAAGCUGGGGGAGCAAACCGGAUUAGAAACCCCAGUAGUCC
Molecule: ribosomal RNA, 274 nt
Filed under: uncultured bacterium
Lineage: Bacteria
Description: partial 16S ribosomal RNA
Rfam family: Archaeal small subunit ribosomal RNA
Source: RNAcentral